AACGAACGCUGGCGGCAGGCCUAACACAUGCAAGUCGAGCGAACCCUUCGGGGUUAGCGGCGGACGGGUUAGUAACGCGUGGGAAUAUACCCUUUGGUACGGAAUAGCCUCGGGAAACUGAGAGUAAUACCGUAUGUGCCCUUCGGGGAAAGAUUAUCGCCAAAGGAUUAGCCCGCGUUGGAUUAGAUAGUUGGUGGGGUAAUGGCCUACCAAGUCUACGAUCCAUAGCUGGUUUGAGAGGAUGAUCAGCAACACUGGGACUGAGACACGGCCCAGACUCCUACGGGAGGCAGCAGUGGGGAAUCUUAGACAAUGGGCGCAAGCCUGAUCUAGCCAUGCCGCGUGAGUGAUGAAGGCCUUAGGGUUGUAAAGACUCUUUCAGAUGGGAAGGAUAAUGACGGUACCAUCAGAAGAAG
Molecule: ribosomal RNA, 416 nt
Filed under: uncultured bacterium
Lineage: Bacteria
Description: bacterial SSU rRNA
Rfam family: Bacterial small subunit ribosomal RNA
Source: RNAcentral